Molecule: ribosomal RNA, 542 nt
Filed under: uncultured Bacilli bacterium
Lineage: Bacteria; Bacillati; Bacillota; Bacilli
Description: bacterial SSU rRNA
Rfam family: Bacterial small subunit ribosomal RNA
Source: RNAcentral
GCGGAACCAACAGAUUUACUUCGGUAAUGACGUUGGGAAAGCGAGCGGCGGAUGGGUGAGUAACACGUGGGGAACCUGCCCCUAAGUCUGGGAUACCAUUUGGAAACAGGUGCUAAUACCGGAUAAUAAAGCAGAUCGCAUGAUCAGCUUUUGAAAGGCGGCGUAAGCUGUCGCUAAGGGAUGGCCCCGCGGGUGCAUUAGCUAGUUGGUAAGGUAACGGCUUACCAAGGCGACGAUGCAUAGCCGAGUUGAGAGACUGAUCGGCCACAUUGGGACUGAGACACGGCCCAAACUCCUACGGGAGGCAGCAGUAGGGAAUCUUCCACAAUGGACGCAAGUCUGAUGGAGCAACGCCGCGUGAGUGAAGAAGGGUUUCGGAUCGUAAAGCUCUGUUGUUGGUGAAGAAGGAUAGAGGUAGUAACUGGCCUUUAUUUGACGGUAAUCAACCAGAAAGUCACGGCUAACUACGUGCCAGCAGCCGCGGUAAUACGUAGGUGGCAAGCGUUGUCCGGAUUUAUUGGGCGUAAAGCGAGCGCAGGCGG